UACAGAGGUCCCAAGCGUUGUUCGGAUUCAUUGGGCGUAAAGGGUGCGUAGGUGGCGCCGUAAGUGGGGUGUGAAAUUUCGGAGCUUAACUCCGAAACUGCAUUCCAUACUGCGGUGCUUGAGGACUGGAGAGGAGACUGGAAUUUACGGUGUAGCAGUGAAAUGCGUAGAGAUCGUAAGGAAGACCAGUGGCGAAGGCGAGUCUCUGGACAGUUACUGACGCUGAGGCACGAAGGCCAGGGGAGCAAACGGG
RNAcentral lists this ribosomal RNA (253 nucleotides) under uncultured bacterium. RNAcentral's name for it is "partial 16S ribosomal RNA". It matches the Rfam family "Bacterial small subunit ribosomal RNA", at positions 524 to 776 of the family's 1533-position model. The record is from RNAcentral.